This 273-nucleotide ribosomal RNA is filed under the name uncultured bacterium. Its description in RNAcentral is "partial 16S ribosomal RNA". It matches the Rfam family "Bacterial small subunit ribosomal RNA", at positions 78 to 354 of the family's 1533-position model. The record is from RNAcentral.
CUUAUGCCGGCGACCGGCGGACGGGUGCGUAACGCGUAUGUAACCUACCUUUGACAGGGGGAUAACAUCGAGAAAUUGGUACUAAUACCCCAUAACAUCACCGGAGGCAUCUUCGGUGGUUGAAAACUCAGGUGGUCAGAGAUGGACAUGCGUUGUAUUAGCUAGUUGGUGAGGUAACGGCUCACCAAGGCGACGAUACAGUAGGGGGACUGAGAGGUCCAACCCCCCACAUUGGUACUGAGACACGGACCAAACUCCUACGGGAGGCAGCAG